RNAcentral lists this ribosomal RNA (1082 nucleotides) under Triticum aestivum (bread wheat). RNAcentral's name for it is "partial small subunit ribosomal RNA". Lineage: Eukaryota; Viridiplantae; Streptophyta; Magnoliopsida; Poales; Poaceae. The record is from RNAcentral.
CGAUACACUCUUAUCCACAUUCCUCUUCUUCCUUGGUCUGAACUCAAGCUCGCGCCGAAGCUUUCCAUGUCCCUCUGCUGCUCCUGCUCCUCCAGCAUCUAGGCUCGGUGCCCACCGACGCCGAGCGGAUCUCGUCGCACUGCCGUGCAGCUUCCACUCGGGCGAGCGCACCCGCGCAUCUCACCUCAUCCCGGCUCGGCUGGCCGCCGCCCGCGUGCGCCUGCUGGACCUCCCUCCCGGCUAGGCUGGCCGCCGACCUCCUGCGCCUGCUAAACCUCCCUCCGGCUAGGCUGGCCGCCGGCCUCGUGCGCCUCCUAGACCAGCAUCUCCGUCUCGGCUGGCCGCCGCACUGGUGCACCUGCUGGAACUGGCCGUGCAGCAGCUCGGUCGGAACGGGAUCCUCCGCGGCGCCGUCCUCGCUAAUAUGAGUCGCGGAUCCUAGCGGUAGCAUGUGGGACGGCCAAGCAAGAGGGCGGCGGCGUGUCCUUGGCAGGCUGGUCCUCGGGCUUGUGGAGGAGGGGUCAAGAGGCGAGAAGAAGGAAGUCGAGGAUAGUAGCAUGAGCGCCAUCUAUUUGGUACUCGGAGAGGAAGAAGAAAGGGAUUGCAGCUCAUACAUACAGCAUUACCUCCGCUGAACAGAGAUUCUGGCCAUGGUUUGUUGUACAAGUUCCACAAGGGUGCAUGGUACUGCUUUGUUAUGCUUCAUACAUGCUACUUCUUUCUGUCCAACACUCGGGAUUGUGUCGCAGUUAAUGAUUGAUCGGCACCCUCCUGGUUCGAUGGACCACUCCUCGGAGAAGCCAUCAGAGGCGCGGAUUCCUUUGCUGCACAAUUCAAGAGAAGAAAAGAAGAAUCCCUGUGCUUCGCCCAGGAUUGUUGUGUGCGUUAAGACUGUAGGUCACCUCCGCCGGCCGCCUCCUAUGAGCAGUAAUUUUGCAUUUUGGCGCGUGUAUUCUGUGCAUCUGUUUCGCGGGUGAUUGUAAUUAUUUCCUUCCGUUCUGUAUUCAGUUUUAAUGAUGAGAGUAUUACGGAAGGGAAUCAGUAUUAUGAUCUGUAUUUGUUUUUCUUUUUGGAUGAAAAAA